GUCUAAAGUCUGAAGAGUCGAGAGUCCAUUUAAGUGAGCAACAAAUACACACUCAUACAGAAUCAUAGAUAGACGCCGAAGCACACACUCUGACACUACCCUAAUUCCUAACUCAGCUGCUCACUGCGACAAAUUCAGCGGCGAGCCCACCACAACGGCUGCUCAGCUCCUCUCUAACUCUCUCCCUCCCUCCCGGCUCCAGUGCCCACAGCUGCAACCCCCAAUUUCUAGGCCUGUUCUUGAAUUGGGUGGCUCAGUAAAGAGGUUUUGCUUUUAUUAUAUAAAUCAUCUCUUCUGUUUUUUAUAUCAAACAGUUCAGAGUGACCGCGGAUUGUUUCUUGCAAGAGCUGUAAUGCAGACAGAUGGGUUUGAUUACUUAAAGCAGAGCUGCCCUCUGUCAUCUCUGAAUUGUUGGAGUGUGUGGCGAGGAUCAGUGAGCAUCCUGUUAUUUCAUUUGGUUACAGGAAUGAACCUUCCCUUGACGGCGCUGAUAUGAAUGGCAGGCGAGUGAAACAAAGAAUUUACUGAGCGAAAAUCAUUAAGCAUUCUGUUAUUUCAUGUAAUUACAGGAAUAGACCUUCCUCUGAUGGUGCUGAGUGCUGACAUGAAUGGCAGGCGAGGGAAACAAAGAAUUUACUGAGCAAAGAAACAGCGUAGUCGGCUCAAAAUUGUUAUCCAGUAAUGAAUGUAAUCUCUAGAACUUUUAGUAACCUUUGGAUUGGAUAAUAUCCUCCAAGUCGUGUAUAUAUUAGCGUUAUGGCUUUUAGCCAAAUCCUUUAAUUGGCAUGUCUAUAUUAAGGGCCAGUUAGUAACUUUUGGAUUGGAUAAUAUCCUUUAAGGAAUA
Molecule: long non-coding RNA, 844 nt
Organism: Daucus carota subsp. sativus
Lineage: Eukaryota; Viridiplantae; Streptophyta; Magnoliopsida; Apiales; Apiaceae
Exons: 3
Source: RefSeq, a predicted model, not a curated record